Molecule: long non-coding RNA, 1594 nt
Organism: Parus major (Great Tit)
Lineage: Eukaryota; Metazoa; Chordata; Aves; Passeriformes; Paridae
Source: Ensembl
GUUAGAGAAAAUGGGCAGAGGAUUGUGAAACAAAGAAACCCCAGACCCUUUCAAAAUGAAACAGCGUGAAAAAUGUUCUUAAUGCACCCACAUUCUCUGGAGCUUUCCCCACUGGUUCAAGAGUUGGAUCUAAGUCAAUAACAAGAUACAACUGUUGAACGUCAAGGAGGGGGAAAUGGGAGCUUUCCUUGGAUAAUUCACAAAGCAGCUGCUGCUGCUGGGUUGUGUUAGUUAGAAAAAGAUGCUGCUCCCCUUGGGAGGAAGAGACAAAUUUCUGCUAAUUUGGUGUUCUAGGGGCAGCAGGGUUGUGAUGCUGUAAGAGCCCAGCAGACAGCAAAGAGGACACGAGGACUGAGAGAAACACUCCUGACAGUUCAGAUAUAAAUGUGCAGCGAAAUGGACCCCAAUCCUCUGACUAAAAGGAGAAAAGUCAACAGCUUUUCCCUGGAGUCUCUGUCCUGGCUGGAUGUUGGGAUGGAUGCUCCUCGUUCCCAUGCAGAAUUGCUGUUUCUCUCUCUGUUUUGGGAAGCUGCCAGAUGGUUUCCUCACCCCUGCUCGUUCUCUUCGAGUUCUGGCCCCACAAGAGGUGUGUGAUGUGUCUGGGAGCACAAAUUGGGCACUGGGUGGGAUUUCCACUGCCUGAAUGGAGAUAAUCAUGGAAUGGUUUGGGUUGGAAGGGACAUUAAAGAUCAGCUUGUUCCAACACCUUCCACUAUCCCAGGUUGCUCCAAGCCCCAUCCAGCCUGGCCUUGGACACUUCCAGGGAGGGGACAUCCACAAUUUCUCUGGGAAUCCUGUGCCAAGGCCUCCCCACCCUCAGAGGGAAUUUUCCUGUACAAAUCCCUGAGUCUGCUCUAAGCACUCUGGCUUUGUGACUUAAGGCCAGGCUUAACAACUUCCCACACCUUUUUCAUUUCAGCCUUAAGGACCCUUUCUUGGGCAAAUCCUUUCUGGAUUUGCAAGUUUGACUUAGUCAUGAUGAGCUUUUAAGGGAAAAACAGUGGCACUGCGUUCUACUCCUUCAACUGCACAUAAUUUAAAAUCCUAUAGGGUUUAAAAGAAAAACAUGAACCUGAUUAGUGGAUUUUAGUGGCAUUUCAGGACCUAAGGAUCCUGAUCACCCAUCUCAAAACCAAGUGGUGUUUUAUUUCUCCCUUCUAUUCCUCCAGAUUAGUUGAAUUUCUCUCUUCUAAUCCUCCAGAUUAAUUUUAUUUCUCCCUUCUAAUCCUCCACACUGUGUCUCAGUGUGUGUUUUAAGCAGAUUUUUUAUUCCUUAAUUUAAUUUCUUGUUUUAAGAGUAAAGUCUAAUGAAUAUUUGGGUUAAAAUUCUUGGUGUGCAUGGCUUGGAUUUGGUGCUUCACCACUUAUCUGCAGCCAAGAAUAUUUUUAAGAAGCUCUUGUAAGGCUUGCAGGAAAUGUAUGUGAGCUCUAAAUGUCAGGUCUGGAGGGAGUUGAGAAAUAUUGCAAUUGUUUUUGGGUUUGGAUUUGUGUAUUCAUGACGUGAAUGGGGUUUGUGCCUUUUCCUGCUCUUCCCAGGGUCCUUUUGCAACUUAUCUGAAAUAAAAUUCUCCUCUUUGUGUCGUCCUGGUGUUGU